RNAcentral lists this ribosomal RNA (406 nucleotides) under uncultured bacterium. RNAcentral's name for it is "partial 16S ribosomal RNA". It matches the Rfam family "Bacterial small subunit ribosomal RNA", at positions 28 to 526 of the family's 1533-position model. The record is from RNAcentral.
GUUGAACGCUGGCGGCAGGCCUAACACAUGCAAGUCGAACGAGUGGCGGACGGGUGAGUAAUGUCUGGGAAACUGCCCGAUGGAGGGGGAUAACUACUGGAAACGGUAGCUAAUACCGCAUACCAUCGGAUGUGCCCAGAUGGGAUUAGCUAGUAGGUGGGGUAAAGGCUCACCUAGGCGACGAUCCCUAGCUGGUCUGAGAGGAUGACCAGCCACACGGGAACUGAGACACGGUCCAGACUCCUACGGGAGGCAGCAGUGGGGAAUAUUGCACAAUGGGCACAGGCCUGAUGCAGCCAUGCCGCGUGUAUGAAGAAGGCCUUCGGGUUGUAAAGUACUUUAAGCGGGGAGGCGUUACCCGCAGAAGAAGCACCGGCUAACUCCGUGCCAGCAGCCGCGGUAAUUC